RNAcentral lists this small nuclear RNA (103 nucleotides) under Echinops telfairi (small Madagascar hedgehog). The record is from RNAcentral. Lineage: Eukaryota; Metazoa; Chordata; Mammalia; Afrosoricida; Tenrecidae.
UUUCCUGUAUCUGUUGAAUAUACUAAAACUGGAACAAUAGAGAAGACUAGCACAGCCUCUGCACAUGGAUGACACCUGAACUUUUGACUCGUUCUAUAUAUAU